This 898-nucleotide ribosomal RNA is filed under the name Scolecobasidium camelliicola. RNAcentral describes it as "partial large subunit ribosomal RNA". It matches the Rfam family "Eukaryotic large subunit ribosomal RNA", at positions 46 to 959 of the family's 3401-position model. The record is from RNAcentral. Lineage: Eukaryota; Fungi; Ascomycota; Dothideomycetes; Venturiales; Sympoventuriaceae.
AUAAGCGGAGGAAAAGAAACCAACCGGGAUUGCCCUAGUAACGGCGAGUGAAGCGGCAACAGCUCAAAUUUGAAAUCUGGAGCCAUUUGGCUUCCGAGUUGUAAUUUGCAGAGGGAGCCUCGGAGGGCGAGACGGUCCAAGUGCCUUGGAACAGGAUACCGCAGAGGGUGAGAGUCCCGUAUCCGGCCGAUCUUGCGCUCCGUGUGAGGCCCCUUCGACGAGUCGAGUUGUUUGGGAAUGCAGCUCCAAGCGGGUGGUAAAUUCCAUCUAAAGCUAAAUACUGGCCAGAGACCGAUAGCGAACAAGUAGAGUGAUCGAAAGAUGAAAAGCACUUUGAAAAGAGAGUCAAACAGUACGUGAAAUUGUUGAAAGGGAAGCGCAUGGGGGCAGACUUGGACGCGGGGUUCAGCGUUUCUAUUGGAGCGUGUACUUCCCCGCGUGCAGGCCAGCAUCGGUUCCGGGGGCCGGACAAAGACGUUGGGAAUGUGGCUCCCCUCGGGGAGUGUUAUAGCCCGGCGUGCAAUGCGGCCACCUGGGACCGAGGACCGCGCCUUGUGCAAGGAUGCUGGCGUAAUGGCCUCAUGCGGCCCGUCUUGAAACACGGACCAAGGAGUCUAACAUCUAUGCGAGUGUUUGGGUGGCAAGCCCGGACGCGCAAUGAAAGUGAACGGAGGUGGGAGUCUGUUACAGGACGCACCAUCGACCGAUCCGGACGUCUUCUGAAGGAUUUGAGUAAGAGCAUAGCUGUUGGGACCCGAAAGAUGGUGAACUAUGCGUGAAUAGGGUGAAGCCAGAGGAAACUCUGGUGGAGGCUCGCAGCGGUUCUGACGUGCAAAUCGAUCGUCAAAUUUGCGUAUAGGGGCGAAAGACUAAUCGAACCAUCUAGUAGCUGGUUCCU